GAUCCAGGGUUAGAGGAGGGUUCAACUUAACACUUACAUUUAGCAGCUUUGUCUGUGUUAUUAAUAUCAGCAAAACCAGCAAAAACAGGGUUAGAGUGCUCUGUCACUUUGAAAUAAAUAUAUUACAAAAGGGAAUUACAGAACAAUGUCUCUAGCCUGUAUCGUUGGAUUCGUCAUGAUUCUUUUUGUUUUAUUUUGUGCAACUGCUGCUGCGAGUUUUCCAUAUGAGGCCAGUGGAGAGACGGUACAGACAAUCACCUUUAAGGAAGAUCAGUGUAAUCCUUCCAAGAUGGCCGUAAAAUGUUGUAUAUGUUUGAAAACGUUGACGAAAUACUUACCCAUUAUAAAUGCUAUAAUUGACAAGAAAAUAAAUUCUGUAUGCAGUCCUGGCUUAUUUUUAUGGAGAACUUGUAGAAGAAUUGCCAGAAUAGCGAAAUUCUUGGUCAUCAAAGGAUAUUUCCCAGGAAGUCCUCAAAGAUCCUGCAUUAAGUAUAAAAUGUGCAAAAGGAUUGAUUAAACAUAAACUAACAAGUCAAUCAAAAUAUCAGAUAUUUAGGGAAGAUUGUUUACUUUGUUUUGUCAAAAGGAUGAGGUAAUAAAUGUUUUAAAUGCAAAAGCAGUGUGAUCAGAUUAUUCAUUCGGUUUUUUUUAAAAAAUACAUCUAAAAUACACAUAACUUACAUCUGAAACAUGAAGCAAUAAUCUAAUAAUGCUGAUGGUUAUUUAGCCAUUUACACUAUUUUACUUAUAAUCUAGUGGUUUAAUCUGUACAUCAGCUUUGAUUAUGUCACAGACAUUCAGUUAUCUUUGUCUUAGUUUGUAUUCAUUAUUCAUCUUUAUUCAUUCAUCUUUGUUUAGUUUCCCGCCACUUAUGAGUUGUCAUGGAGAUUCAUUGAGUCAUCAUAGGUGUUUGUCAUUAAUUGUUUGCUUGUGUGGAUUAUUAAAGCCAUUUUUUUAACCUGA
Long non-coding RNA from Ctenopharyngodon idella (grass carp), 963 nucleotides. RefSeq lists it as uncharacterized. The record is from RefSeq and is a predicted model, not a curated record. Lineage: Eukaryota; Metazoa; Chordata; Actinopteri; Cypriniformes; Xenocyprididae. The transcript is spliced from 4 exons.